GGACCCCACUGCUAUCGGGAUAAGACUAAGCCAUGCAAGUCAAGCGUCUCCAAGCUAUGUUGGAGAUGCGGCGUACGGCUCAGUAACACGUGGUUAAUCUACCCUUGGGACGGGAAUAACUCCGGGAAACUGGAGCUAAUACCCGAUGGGCGGGAACGCCUGGAAUGGUCUCCCGCUGAAAUGGCGUUGAAAACAUGCUUUCAACGUUGCCCAAGGAUGAGACCGCGGCCGAUCAGGUUGUUGGUGAGGUAACGGCUCACCAAGCCUACAACCGGUACGGGCCGUGAGAGCGGAAGCCCGGAGAUGGGCACUGAGACAAGGGCCCAGGCCCUACGGGGCGCAGCAGUCGCGAAAACUCCGCAAUACACGAAAGUGUGACGGGGCUAUCCCGAGUGCCAUCCGCUGAGGAUGGCUUUUCCCCAGUGUAUAAAGCUGGGGGAAUAAGGAGAGGGCAAGCCUGGUGUCAGCCGCCGCGGUAAUACCAGCUCUCCGAGUGGUGGGGAUGUUUAUUGGGCCUAAAGCAUUCGUAGCCUGCUUGGCAAGUCCUCCGUUAAAUCCAACGAUUCAAUCGUUGGGCUGCGGGGGAUACUGUCCGGCUAGGGGGCGGGAGAGGCCGACGGUAUCCCCGGGGUAGGGGUGAAAUCCUAUAAUCCCGGGAGGACCACCAGUGGCGAAGGCUGUCGGCUAGAACGCGCUCGACGGUGAGGGAUGAAAGCUGGGGGAGCGAACCGGAUUAGAUACCCGGGUAGUCCCAGCUGUAAACGAUGCAGGCUAGGUGUUGGCGCGGCUACGUGCCGCUCCAGUGCCGCAGGGAAGCCGUUAAGCCUGCCGCCUGGGAAGUACGGCCGCAAGGCUGAAACUUAAAGGAAUUGGCGGGGGAGCAC
This 884-nucleotide ribosomal RNA is filed under the name uncultured archaeon. RNAcentral's name for it is "bacterial SSU rRNA". It matches the Rfam family "Archaeal small subunit ribosomal RNA", at positions 19 to 879 of the family's 1478-position model. The record is from RNAcentral.